GAUGAACGCUGGCGGCGUGCCUAAUACAUGCAAGUCGAGCGAACGGACGAUAAGCUUGCUUCUCUGAUGUUAGCGGCGGACGGGUGAGUAACACGUGGAUAACCUACCUAUAAGACUGGGAUAACUUCGGGAAACCGGAGCUAAUACCGGAUAAUAUUUUGAACCGCAUGGUUCAAAAGUGAAAGACGGUCUUGCUGUCACUUAUAGAUGGAUCCGCGCUGCAUUAGCUAGUUGGUAAGGUAACGGCUUACCAAGGCAACGAUGCAUAGCCGACCUGAGAGGGUGACAGGCCACCCUGGAACUGAGAAACGGUCCAGACUCCUACGGGAGGCAGAAGUAGGGAAUCUUCAGCAAUGGGCGAAAGCCUGACGGAGCAACGCCGCGGGAGUGAUGAAGGUCUUCGGAUCGUAAAACUCUGUUAUUAGGGAAGAACAUAUGUGUAAGUAACUGUGCACAUCUUGACGGUACCUAAUCAGAAAGCCACGGCAAACUACGU
This 496-nucleotide ribosomal RNA is filed under the name uncultured bacterium. RNAcentral describes it as "partial 16S ribosomal RNA". It matches the Rfam family "Bacterial small subunit ribosomal RNA", at positions 28 to 506 of the family's 1533-position model. The record is from RNAcentral.